Molecule: ribosomal RNA, 839 nt
Filed under: uncultured bacterium
Lineage: Bacteria
Description: bacterial SSU rRNA
Rfam family: Bacterial small subunit ribosomal RNA
Source: RNAcentral
ACACAUGCAAGUCGAACGAGAUCCACCGCGUGGCAACACUCGGGAAGAUCUAUUGGCGAACGGGUGCGUAACACGUGAGAAACCCACCCCGAACUCUGGGAUAACAGGUGGAAACGCUGCUAAUACCGGAUACCUCCGCCGAGUCGCAUGGCUUGGCGUAGAAAGGUCCGCCGGUUCGGGACGGUCUCGCGGCCUAUCAGCUUGUUGGUGGGGUAAUGGCCUACCAAGGCAUCGACGGGUAGCUGGUCUGAGAGGAUGAUCAGCCACACUGGGACUGAGACACGGCCCAGACUCCUACGGGAGGCAGCAGUGGGGAAUCUUGCCCAAUGGGCGCAAGCCUGAGGCAGCAACGCCGCGUGCGGGAAGAAGGCCUUCGGGUUGUAAACCGCUUUCAGCAGGAACGAAAAUGACGGUACCUGCAGAAGAAGGUGCGGCCAACUACGUGCCAGCAGCCGCGGUGACACGUAGGCACCAAGCGUUGUCCGGAUUUAUUGGGCGUAAAGAGCUCGUAGGCGGUUCGGUAAGUCGGGUGUGAAAACUUUGGGCUCAACCCAAAGCCUGCACCCGAUACUGCUGUGACUUGAGUCCGGUAGGGGAGUGGGGAAUUCCUGGUGUAGCGGUGGAAUGCGCAGAUAUCAGGAGGAACACCGGUGGCGAAGGCGCCACUCUGGGCCGGUACUGACGCUGAGGAGCGAAAGCGUGGGGAGCGAACAGGAUUAGAUACCCUGGUAGUCCACGCCGUAAACGUUGGGCACUAGGUGUGGGCUCUUACCAACGGAGUCCGUGCCGUAGCUAACGCAUUAAGUGCCCCGCCUGGGGAGUACGGCCGCAAGGCUAAA